UACGGAGGGAGCUAGCGUUGUUCGGAAUUACUGGGCGUAAAGCGCACGUAGGCGGAUAUUUAAGUCGGGGGUGAAAUCCCGGGGCUCAACCCCGGAACUGCCUUCGAUACUGGGUAUCUUGAGUUCGGAAGAGGUGAGUGGAAUUGCGAGUGUAGAGGUGAAAUUCGUAGAUAUUCGCAGGAACACCAGUGGCGAAGGCGGCUCACUGGUCCGAUACUGACGCUGAGGUGCGAAAGCGUGGGGAGCAAACAGG
RNAcentral lists this ribosomal RNA (253 nucleotides) under uncultured bacterium. Its description in RNAcentral is "partial 16S ribosomal RNA". It matches the Rfam family "Bacterial small subunit ribosomal RNA", at positions 524 to 776 of the family's 1533-position model. The record is from RNAcentral.